This 189-nucleotide ribosomal RNA is filed under the name uncultured rumen bacterium. Its description in RNAcentral is "partial 16S ribosomal RNA". It matches the Rfam family "Bacterial small subunit ribosomal RNA", at positions 338 to 524 of the family's 1533-position model. The record is from RNAcentral.
CCUACGGGAGGCAGCAGUGUGGAAUAUUGGUCAAUGGGCGAGAGCCUGAACCAGCCAAGUAGCGUGCAGGAUGACGGCCCUAUGGGUUGUAAACUGCUUUUAUACAGGGAUAAAGUGACGUACGUGUACGUUUUUGUAGGUACUGUAUGAAUAAGGACCGGCUAAUUCCGUGCCAGCAGCCGCGGUAAU